AUUGAACGCUGGCGGCAGGCCUAACACAUGCAAGUCGAGCGGAGGAAGGGAGCUUGCUCCUGGAUUCAGCGGCGGACGGGUGAGUAAUGCCUAGGAAUCUGCCUGGUAGUGGGGGAUAACGUCCGGAAACGAGCGCUAAUACCGCAUACGUCCUGAGGGGGAAAGUGGGGGAUCUUCGGAACUCACGCUAUCAGAUGAGCCUAGGUCGGAUUAGCUAGUUGGUGGGGUAAAGGCCUACCAAGGCGACGAUCCGUAACUGGUCUGAGAGGAUGAUCAGUCACACUGGAACUGAGACACGGUCCAGACUCCUACGGGAGGCAGCAGUGGGGAAUAUUGGACAAAGGGCGAAAGCCUGAUCCAGCCAUGCCGCGUGUGUGAAGAAGGUCUUCGGAUUGUAAAGCACUUUAAGUUGGGAGGAAGGGCAGUAAGUUAAUACCUUGCUGUUUUGACGUUACCAACAGAAUAAGCACCGGCUAACUUCGUG
RNAcentral lists this ribosomal RNA (484 nucleotides) under uncultured bacterium. RNAcentral's name for it is "partial 16S ribosomal RNA". It matches the Rfam family "Bacterial small subunit ribosomal RNA", at positions 30 to 507 of the family's 1533-position model. The record is from RNAcentral.